This 882-nucleotide unclassified non-coding RNA is filed under the name Hevea brasiliensis (rubber tree). Lineage: Eukaryota; Viridiplantae; Streptophyta; Magnoliopsida; Malpighiales; Euphorbiaceae. The record is from RNAcentral.
GUCAAAAGAUUCAAAGAUAUAUUAUGUAAAAAUUAAAAAGAAAGUCAUUACUUCUAGUAACAAAAUAAAAAUACAUAAAAGAAAAAAUGAAGACACCAAAAAUAAAAAAUUGCAACAAGAUAAAAUGAUCAACACUGUAGUUAGAAUAGUGAAUGAUACUUUGUUAGAAUAAAUUUGUUUUAAAAUUAUUUUAAUGAAAAUAAUAAUUAAAUAAUUUAAAAGUAAUUAAAAUUAAAAUAAAAAGUUGAAAUUAUAUAUAUUGGGGGUUGUUUGGAACAGGUGGGAGGGUGGUUGAAAUUGGGAAAAAGAAAAAUGAGGAUACUAUUUUUAGGGGGAAAAAAAAAAGAUAAGGGUCACUGCUCUUGUCAACAGUGUUUUAGAGUAUCAUUUUAAUAUAGAUAAUAGAAGAUGACGAUUUUUCUUGGAAAACGAAGAAUCAUGAAGUGUUAUGAGAUAAAUAGAUAAAGAAGGAUAAAAUUGUAUUUUUACUGUUCUUUAGGAACAGUAAAAGUGAUGUGUGUUUUAGUAAUAUAUAAUAAUCCCAAAUCAAAAUACUUAAAAAAGAGUUUGCAAUUUGCACACUUUUUUUUGUGAUAGUUAACCUUUCCUUUGCUUGUACUUAUUUUACAUUCUCGUAUAUGGUAUUUUAGAUUUGUAGCUUGCUGAAGAGGAUAUCAACCCAAUGAUGAAUUAGCCUGUAAUUAGGCUAAUCCAUGGUAUAGAGCAGAAUAGUCAUCUAGUUUGCAUUUGGCUUCGAAACAGGAAGCAUUUGGAGUAUCAGUUACUUGUUAUAGUUGAAUUUGAUGGUGACAUAAAUAGCUUCUUACUUGCUGACUUUUAGCUUACUAGUUUACACUAGUAAGUAGUUUGCGCUUAGCCGAU